AAUCAACGCUGGCGGCGUGCCUAACACAUGCAAGUCGCACGAGAAAGGGUCUUCGGAUCUGAGUAAAGUGGCGCACGGGUGAGUAACACGUGAAUUAUCUACCUUCGAGUGGGGAAUAACUCCGGGAAACCGAGGCUAAUACCGCAUAAUAUCUACGGAUCAAAGCAGUAAUGCGCUUGAAGAGGAGUUCGCGGCAGAUUAGUUAGUUGGCGGGGUAAUGGCCCACCAAGACGAUGAUCUGUAUCCGGACUGAAUGGGCGCACGGACACACUGGAACUGAUACACGGUCCAGACCCCUACGGGAGGCAGUAGUGGGGAAUUUUGCGCAAUGGGGGAAACCCUGACGCAGCACCGCCGCUUGGAGGAUGAAGUCUGUUGAGACGUAAACUCCUUUCGAUAGGGAAGAUUAUGACGGUACCUAUAGAAGAAGCCCCGGCUAACUUCGUGCCAGCCGCCGCCGUAA
RNAcentral lists this ribosomal RNA (463 nucleotides) under uncultured bacterium. RNAcentral describes it as "partial 16S ribosomal RNA". It matches the Rfam family "Bacterial small subunit ribosomal RNA", at positions 32 to 523 of the family's 1533-position model. The record is from RNAcentral.